UAAAAUUGGCUGUUGCCUCAAAAGUGC
Molecule: non-coding RNA, 27 nt
Filed under: Rattus norvegicus (Norway rat)
Lineage: Eukaryota; Metazoa; Chordata; Mammalia; Rodentia; Muridae
Source: RNAcentral